This 446-nucleotide ribosomal RNA is filed under the name uncultured bacterium. Its description in RNAcentral is "bacterial SSU rRNA". It matches the Rfam family "Bacterial small subunit ribosomal RNA", at positions 329 to 792 of the family's 1533-position model. The record is from RNAcentral.
AGCCAGACUCCUACGGGAGGCAGCAGUGGGGAAUAUUGCACAAUGGGGGAAACCCUGAUGCAGCAACGCCGCGUGAGUGAAGAAGUCAUUCGUGAUGUAAAGCUCUAUCAGCAGGGAAGAAAAUGACGGUACCUGAGUAAGAAGCCCCGGCUAACUACGUGCCAGCAGCCGCGGUAAUACGUAGGGGGCAAGCGUUAUCCGGAUUUACUGGGUGUAAAGGGAGCGUAGACGGCCAGACAAGUCUGAAGUGAAAAUCCAGCGCUUAACGUUGGAAGUGCUUUGGAAACUGCCGGGCUAGAGUGCAGGAGAGGCAAUCGGAAUUCCGUGUGUAGCGGUGAAAUGCGUAGAUAUACGGAGGAACACCAGUGGCGAAGGCGGAUUGCUGGACAGUAACUGACGCUGAGGCGCGAAAGCGUGGGGAGCAAACAGGAUUAGAUACCCCAGUA